Molecule: long non-coding RNA, 1588 nt
Organism: Gouania willdenowi (blunt-snouted clingfish)
Lineage: Eukaryota; Metazoa; Chordata; Actinopteri; Blenniiformes; Gobiesocidae
Product: zinc finger protein Dzip1-like
Source: Ensembl
CCUGGAGUGGCUCUUGUACUCCCAGGAGGUCCUCACCCACAACCUGGUCGCUGUCGAGGAGUGGCUGACUGCGGCCGAUAGGGAGCACAAGCAGCUGCUCGGGCAGCUGAAAAACCAGGAGGAGCAUGACAUCGCGCUGAAGCCCAUGACAAACAAUACAUCUCUGGUCAACAGCCUCAAAACAGAGAACAUCAGCCUCAAAUCAGAGAACAUCUGCCUCAAAUCAGAGAACAUCAGCCUCAAAUCAGAGCUCAAUAGACUAAAGGAGCAGAUCAAUGAGCAGCGGCAGACCAUUGAAGCCAAAACAUUUCUGAAAAUGAAGCAGCAGUCACAGAAAGACCUGCUGAGAGCGACUCGUGUCAACGACGAGGCGAUGGCCCAGUUCGAUCGCAAGCUCGACGACACCAAAAAUAGCUUGCUCAGGGAGAUGGAGUCCCUCAACAACCAAAACCUCCACGCUCUGGACAAAGUCAGUCAGAAUCAACUUGUUAGGCAGGAGAUACUUGUCAAGCCUGUGGACUCGCAGCAGCAGAGAGACAUCAACAAGGAGAUCCAGAGCCAGACAAUCCAGAUGUUGGAGCAGCAAAAGAAGAAACAUAGUCAAAAAUGGAAAUCCAGGUUGCAGGGAGUCAAAGCUCAGCACAAAUCUGAGAUUGACAGGCUGAUGGAUGAGCUGAGCAAAAUGCAGACGUACCAGUCUGAGAACCACAAGAUGUCCCGGAUUCUGCGGAAGAAGAAGCUCAUCAUCCAAGCUCAGAGGGAACAGAUAAAGAGCAUUUAUUUAAACCCACCCAUCAAAGAAGAAGAAGAACAAAAAGAAGAAUCAGAAGCAGAAGAAGAAGAAGUACCAGUCACCAAGAGUUUACCUGCACCAGAGCCCAAACGGAAGAGAGUUUCCACGAUGAGGCCAGUGUCAGUUCCAAUCUUGGAUCCUAUACAGGAGCUGCCAGAGGAUUCAAACACCAUAUCUGAAAAGAGUCCAGCGCAGACAACACCCAAGCCUGAGCUCAGGAAGGAGGUGACACUGACGCUCGUCAGGCCGGUGGAGAGUCAGAGAACGGAAACUUCUGGGAGCCUUACAGAAAAGAAGCCUCCGUUGAGCUUCAUUGAGGAAUCGGAUCCUGAGAUGGAAGAGGUAGAAGAGCAAGGAAAAGUAAAGAAAAAGAACAAAUUGGUGAGAAAAAUGAAGAUCUUGGGACAAAAGAUUUCACAGAGUUGCAGGAGAGUAUUGAAUGUUUUUUGUCGUCGGAAGAGGAGCACUGCAGAAGAAUGUGAAUCAUCAUCAGAGAGUGAGGAACGUUCUACAGAAAUGUCCUCCAGUCAGGUCACAUGUGACGUAGAGACAGACGGCACCAUGAAAGGCAGCCUGACUUCCCUCAACGACGUCAGUGAAACAUAAAGGCCAUUAGAAACAUAAGAAACCCUGCAGCCAAUCAGGAGAUGUUGCAGAGACACAACAAACUCCCUCAAACUAGUGUUGUGUUCAAGACCACACUAUCCAAGACCAAGACUUGCCCGAGACCAGAAUGCACCGAGACCAAGACAAGACCAAGACUUUCAGGAGCCGAGACCGAGUCAAGACCAAGAC